GACUGUGUUACAAUGAACUGCCCCUGACCUCUACUGGAUUUCAUCAGAACAGCUCAGCUGUGUGUCACAGACCCUAUACUGCUACAAGAGUUAUUGUUUUUCCAGAUUUCCCCAGAUGUUUUCCUGAUUCUUCACUUGCAAGGUGUCACGCCUCAGACUUCAAAGGGCUGUUGGUGCAUUAAUUCCUUAAACAUGAAAGGUGACACCACUCUGGAGGAGAGGAAGGGAUAUAGAUUCCAACUACGACUGUUCUAAGGAUUUGUGAAAAUUGCCCAGAUGGGGAUGGCAGUGGGGAGUGCCAAACAGCCAGUAAGUCACUCAUUCAUGGAGCAAGCAAGAGCGCAACUUGAAAUCAUGGCCCAGCUCCUCUUGGGGACUCUUCCAAGCUCCUGUCAGAGCUCUGAUGACCCCCUCCCAUUUCUUUCAUUAUACUCCUCUGACCUUGCAUUGUGUCGGCUGAUCUUGUGACCUGAGAAGGACUGGAUAUCAUCUCCUUCUGGGGCUAGCCAAUGACAUAGGGGCAGGGGGUCACUGCAGCAUUCAUUCCUUUUCCCUAUGGGCCUGAACAUUCACCUUAACAGAUUUUCAUCCUGCCAGCUCUUCGUCCUCCACCCUGCCAGCUCUUCCGUCCCUUCUAGGUUCCAUAUAGAUAAAUCUUGACCAAAAAAGCUUGACAAAAAAACUGGAUCUGAACACUUGUCAGUGUUUUCUCCUUGCUUAAAAUAAGCCUUCUCUCUUUCUUUUAUUUUUUCCCUGAUUUGGUCAGAUGAUGAUUUUGAGGAGGCAGGUGAAGGUGGAAAUUAGUCAACACGUAGCAGAACAGUGUUAUCAUCAAGGAAGAAGAGUUGUUCCAUAAUGCAAGGGACUGGUGGUGAGAUGGAGCAAAGGAAUAUUUAGUCUGGAUUCCAAGAAACACUUCUUGGAAUAUGAAAUUCUCUUAAGCUAUGGAAGAAUCUCCCAAAGGAAGCCCUCCCUAUUGCCUGCCUCCUUUAGAACUGGGCUGGAUACAGUGCUGAACAAUCUAUAGUAGGAAGUCCUGAAGGUAACAUCAGUUGGUGUCCAAUUUAAAUGACUUUCUUUGCAUUCUAUGUUGUGUUGCUCUAAAUAGGUGGUUCUACAGAGAUGUUGUACUCCACACCUGCAAUGUGUGAUUUUCUGACACUUACAGUUUCAUUGUUUCUAAAGCAAAUUUCUUCAAACAUGCAUGUUUAGGUGACAAGUCAGAUGUUUUAAAAAUAUAGUGACAUGGAGCUGUGUCAGAAAGGGCUAAAUUCUGCUCUUGACUAUGUCAAUAUCAAUCUGGAGGUAGCUCUGUUGAAGGCAGUUGAGUUACUCUGGGUUGACGCUGGUAUAACAGCAAGCAGGAUUUGGCCAAAGUGUCUGAAAAAUGUCUUUCCAGUGUGUCCCUAAGAACCCCUCAAUGCCAACUGACAAAGGGUUCACUGUUUUGUAACCGGUUUCAGAGUAGCAGCCGUGUUAGUCUGUAUUCGCAAAAAGAAAAGGAGUACUAGUGGCACCUUAGAGACUAGCCAAUUUAUCUGAGCAUAAGCUUUCGUGAGCUACAGCUCACUUCAUCGGAUGCAUUUUUUGUAUGCAUGUUUUGUAACCACAACUCCUAACGAGUGUAACAAACUCACUAUGCCUAACGCACUGUUUUCAUGGUAUUUAUCCAUAAAUAGUGUUUUGUAAGGUAUCUUAUGUCCUACUCAUCCUGGAAAUCAUUGCAAGAUGUUUUUUGCAAGAUGCAAACAGGUUUUGUCAGACAAAAGGAUGUAGAUUCAACUGUUUGCCCUUGCUUAUAUGUAGAUUAAGCAUUGUAAGUCACCUCAAUGCAAGCCCCAUUUUGCACAUGGAGUCAACAUGAAGAUGUGAAGGCAUCCUGGAGCCAGCACAUCAGGAAGGGAACCAGGGGGGUCAUCCCGAAUGGGCACAAAACAAUAAGUUUUGGAAAAUAUAAGGAGCAGCAAAAAGCCAUUUUGGGAUCCAUUCACGGAGGAAACCCCUUGAAGGAUAUGGGAUAUUCAUAAAAACUUGGAUCCUGGUUUUGACUGAACCACCAGCAGCUCUCUCAAACACUAAAUCCUUGGGAGAAAAUUUACUUUAUUAAAUAGAAAAGGUACCAUUGAUAAGUGUAUUCCUAAGCCUGUGUUUUAUGUUUUGUUUUGAAUGUGUAAAAAUUGCGGUUUCUACUCAUUAUCCUAACUCACUAUCUUGUAAAA
This is a long non-coding RNA of Caretta caretta (loggerhead turtle), 2219 nucleotides long. RefSeq lists it as uncharacterized. Lineage: Eukaryota; Metazoa; Chordata; Testudines; Cheloniidae. The record is from RefSeq and is a predicted model, not a curated record.